Molecule: ribosomal RNA, 775 nt
Filed under: uncultured Neocallimastigales
Lineage: Eukaryota; Fungi; Neocallimastigomycota; Neocallimastigomycetes; Neocallimastigales
Description: partial large subunit ribosomal RNA
Rfam family: Eukaryotic large subunit ribosomal RNA
Source: RNAcentral
GUAGUCUCGCACAGAUGCAUAUCAAUAAGCGGAGGAAAAGAAACUAACAAGGAUUCCCUUAGUAACGGCGAGUGAAGCGGGAAGAGCUCAAAUUUGAAAUCUUCAAGGUUUUACCUUGACGAAUUGUAGUUUAAGAGAAGUGUUUUCUGUUGAAGUUUUGGUAAAAGUUCUUUGGAAUAGGACAUCAUAGAGGGUGAGAAUCCCGUAUUUGACCAUUAUUUUCAGCUGUGUGAUACACUUUCAAAGAGUCGGAUUGUUUGGGAAUGCAGUCCAAAAUGGGUGAUAAAUUUCAUCUAAAGCUAAAUAUUGGCGAGAGACCGAUAGCGAACAAGUACCGUGAGGGAAAGAUGAAAAGAACUUUGAAAAGAGAGUUAAACAGUACGUGAAAUUGUCAAAAGGGAAGCGUUUGACACCAGUGUUGUUUUCUCGAAAAUCAAUUAAAAAGAGUUAGAUUUUGUUGUGUAUUGACCUUAACAGCUUGCAUUUCAAUUUUCUUGCUUUUUUUAAUGCACUUAUCGUUUAACAAGUCAACAUCAGUUUCUUUUGUUGUAAAAAGGUCAUUGGAAGGUGGCUUUCUUUUCGGAGAAAGUGUUUAUAGCCUUUGACUCCUGCAAUCGGAGAGACUGAGGUCUGCAGCGUAGAUCCUUCGGGGUUAGAUACAUUUGUGCUAAGUUAUAGCUUUUUAUAGACAACUUGUUGACUAUGAUUAGUCUUGUAGCUUACUCGCUUAUGCUAUUUUACCUACGCUUAGGAUGUUGAGCGCAUGUCUCUCUCU